GACGAACGCUGGCGGCGUGCUUAACACAUGCAAGCCGAACGCUGAAGCUCAGCUUUUGUUGGGUGGAUGAGUGGCGAACGGGUGAGUAACACGUGAGUAACCUGCCCCCUUCUUUGGGAUAACGCCCGGAAACGGGUGCUAAUACUGGAUAUUCACUGGUCUUCGCAUGGGGGUUGGUGGAAAGGGUUUUUCUGGUGGGGGAUGGGCUCGCGGCCUAUCAGCUUGUUGGUGGGGUGAUGGCCUACCAAGGCUUUGACGGGUAGCCGGCCUGAGAGGGUGACCGGUCACAUUGGGACUGAGAUACGGCCCAGACUCCUACGGGAGGCAGCAGUGGGGAAUAUUGCCCAAUGGGCGCAAGCCUGAUGCAGCGACGCCGCGUGAGGGAUGGAGGCCUUCGGGUUGUGAACCUCUUUCGCUCAUGGUCAAGCCGCAACAAUGGUUGUGGUGAGGGUAGUGGGUAAAGAAGCGCCGGCUAACUACGUG
Molecule: ribosomal RNA, 483 nt
Filed under: uncultured bacterium
Lineage: Bacteria
Description: partial 16S ribosomal RNA
Rfam family: Bacterial small subunit ribosomal RNA
Source: RNAcentral